UAUACAACACAUAACAAGAAAACCCGCAGUACAAUACUAAACCUCCGGUUCCAUAGUACAGAUAGCAGAUACAAUUUUUCUUUCACUGAAUACAAUCUAAGAAAGAAAAUGCCCGUCAAAAUACACAUCGUUUAUUGUGGUGGAUGAGGGUACGCCCCCAAGUUCCGCAAGCUGAAGCAGGAACUUGAAGCUAAAUAUCCAGGAAAACUGGAGAUUUCGGGUGAAGCAACACCCAAUACCUCAGGAUGGUUGGAGGUUCAAAUUGUUGGAGGAGAAGUGUUGCAUAGUAAGAAGAACGGGGACGGAUAUAUUGACUCCCAGGCCAAGAUGGAUAAAAUCUUCGCUGGGGUUGAGAAGGCACUGGAGUCCGCCUAGGUCUGGUCUAAGGAGUACAAGGAAGCAGAGUUGAUAAAAUGACGGAAGGAUAUUAAACUCUCCGGAGUAAAUUCAUCCUGAUAAACUUUAUCCCGAGUUGAACCUAUAGCUGGGUUCAGGUUCGGAGAAGAUCAACCGAACUUCUGCAGUACGAUCCUUCUCUAGUAUUCAUAGUUGAUUUUGAUGUAUGAUUAUUAACAUGUAAAAUAUACAUAUAUUUUAAAA
Long non-coding RNA from Eurytemora carolleeae, 600 nucleotides. RefSeq lists it as uncharacterized. Lineage: Eukaryota; Metazoa; Arthropoda; Copepoda; Calanoida; Temoridae. The record is from RefSeq and is a predicted model, not a curated record. The transcript has 4 exons.